This is a non-coding RNA of Manis javanica (Malayan pangolin), 818 nucleotides long. The record is from RefSeq and is a predicted model, not a curated record. NCBI's taxonomy places the organism in Eukaryota, Metazoa, Chordata, Mammalia, Pholidota, Manidae.
UACAAACACAAAAGGCUUAGCAAUUUUUAGGGCUGAAUUGAUAUCACUAAAUUGUUUUUUGGAGUUGCUAAGCAACACUGAAAAACAAAUGUCCAUGUUCUGAGAUCACUCAGCAUGCAUUCUCCCUGAGGGCAGUGCACGUGUGAGGCAGCCCAACUCCACUCCACUCAGACAGCAGGAGCGGAACAUCUCAACCAUGACACGAAUGGUCUGCAGUGCAAAAGAUACAAAUCAUGUCUCAAAUACAAAUCAUGGUUUGUUGGCCUCCUGGCAGCCGAGCUCUCUGGUAAGAAAAAAUUUUCACUGGACUGUCACUGUUUGCCUGAGUAAGUCCCACAGGGGCCUCCGGUGUCUUCUCAUACCUGUAACAUCACUUUACUCAGCUUUCUUUGAAGAAACAGCCUUCACUGUGAGAAGACCUAUUUCAGAUCAUCUUUCUUAAGGAUAUGUUGGCAUUACACUUAGAAAGAAAGCCUCAGCUAAGAUGCUCUGACCAAUAAAACUUUGUCUGCUGGACCUGGGAAGGAAAACUGCUUCUUUCAAAGGUGAAGCUGUCCCACUGCACAUGAUUGAUAAGAAGGUAUGUAUGUCCACUUUGUCCCAUCCCCUCAGAUACAACUUGGCACCUAGGAGACAGGCACUGUGCUGCUCUUCCAGUGAGAGAACACCAUGAGAAGAUCAUCAGUUCAACAAAUCAGCUAAUUUCUCAAAGGAAAAGACUUAUAUUCACUAGAGUCCUCCCUUACCCCAUACAUCAAGUGGCAUUUUAACAUGAUGGCUUAGCACUGCACAUAAAUUCAGCAAAGGUUUCAAUUCUA